Molecule: long non-coding RNA, 329 nt
Organism: Tachysurus fulvidraco (yellow catfish)
Lineage: Eukaryota; Metazoa; Chordata; Actinopteri; Siluriformes; Bagridae
Exons: 3
Source: RefSeq, a predicted model, not a curated record
CUCCAAACUGGCUGGAUCAUGUGAUAUGUAGGAAACACGACUCUAAUCUGUUGCAGUGUCCAUCUUCACCCUGGGGACAGAACAGAUGUGAUACUCAUGAUGAAGUGGUUCAUAUUAACUGCACAGAUGAUGGAAAGUCUCCACGUCCACCAGGAAACUGCUCUUUACUUCCCUCUCAGAAACACUGCUCAAAACACUGGUCUCUCAGGCUGAGUGGAGGAAACGGAAGCUGCUCUGGGAGGUUGGAGGUGUAUCAUAACUCUACGUGGGGCUCCGUUUGUGAUUAUCAGUGGAACAUCAUGAACGCUCAGGUGGUGUGCAGACAGUUG